GUGAAUCAUCAAAUUUUUGAACGCAUAUUGCACUCUCUGGUAUUCCGGAGAGUAUGCCUGUUUGAGGGUAAUUAAAAAGAAUCUUUAACCAAUUUUUUUUGGUUAAAGGAAAUGAGUUCUCCGCGUUUAUAGCGGUAGCUUGAAAUAAAUGGUAGACUCAUUUUAUACUAGACGCGUAUUAAAAUUAUUUUUCGAGAUCUUCA
RNAcentral lists this unclassified non-coding RNA (203 nucleotides) under Ambisporaceae sp. RNAcentral's name for it is "partial contains 5.8S ribosomal RNA and internal transcribed spacer 2". The stretch from base 1 to 71 matches the Rfam family "5.8S ribosomal RNA", at positions 84 to 154 of the family's 154-position model. The record is from RNAcentral. Lineage: Eukaryota; Fungi; Glomeromycota; Glomeromycetes; Archaeosporales; Ambisporaceae.